Molecule: ribosomal RNA, 465 nt
Filed under: uncultured bacterium
Lineage: Bacteria
Description: partial 16S ribosomal RNA
Rfam family: Bacterial small subunit ribosomal RNA
Source: RNAcentral
CCUACGGGAGGCAGCAGUAGGGAAUCUUCCACAAUGGGCGAAAGCCUGAUGGAGCAACGCCACGUGGGUGAAGAAGGUCUUCGGAUCGUAAAACCCUGUUGUUAGAGAAGAAAGUGCGUGAGAGUAACUGUUUACGUUUCGACGGUAUCUAACCAGAAAGCCACGGCUAACUACGUGCCAGCAGCCGCGGUAAUACGUAGGUGGCAAGCGUUAUCCGGAUUUAUUGGGCGUAAAGGGAACGCAGGCGGUCUUUUAAGUCUGAUGUGAAAGCCUUCGGCUUAACCGGAGUAGUGCAUUGGAAACUGGGAGACUUGAGUGCAGAAGAGGAGAGUGGAACUCCAUGUGUAGCGGUGAAAUGCGUAGAUAUAUGGAAGAACACCAGUGGCGAAAGCGGCUCUCUGGUCUGUAACUGACGCUGAGGUUCGAAAGCGUGGGUAGCAAACAGGAUUAGAUACCCUUGUAGUC